AUACGGAGGAUCCAAGCGUUAUCCGGAUUUAUUGGGUUUAAAGGGUGCGUAGGCGGACUGGUAAGUCAGCUGUGAAAGUUUGCGGCUUAACCGUAAAAUUGCAGUUGAUACUGUCAGUCUUGAGUGUGCAUGAGGUGGGCGGAAUUUGUGGUGUAGCGGUGAAAUGCUUAGAUAUCACGAGGAACUCCAAUUGCGAAGGCAGCUCACUGGGGCAUAACUGACGCUGAUGCACGAAGGUGUGGGUAUCAAACAGGAUUAGAUACCCUGGUAGUCCACACAGUAAACUAUGAAUACUCGCUGUUUGCGAUAUACAGUAAGCGGCCAAGCGAAAGCAUUAAGUAUUCCACCUGGGGAGUACGCCGGCAACGGUGAAACUCAAAGGAAUUGGCGGGG
RNAcentral lists this ribosomal RNA (393 nucleotides) under uncultured bacterium. Its description in RNAcentral is "partial 16S ribosomal RNA". It matches the Rfam family "Bacterial small subunit ribosomal RNA", at positions 523 to 918 of the family's 1533-position model. The record is from RNAcentral.